CAGCACCAGGCACCUCCAUCCCUGCUUCCCAACUGGUAACCCUGUUACCUCUGAAUACAUUAAAGUUGAGGGUUUCAUAAUUUUGCUUCAUCAGCUUUAAUGACUUGCUUCAUCUCAGCUUUAAUGACCUUGCAGCUGGGGCCAUCCUGAGAACAAGGCUUGCUUCCUGACUUUAAUCACCACAGCUGAAGGGGCUCUGUCAGAAGAGCGUUUCCAUACUGGAAAGGCACAACCUCUGCAGAAUGGGAGGAGAAGGGCAAGCAUGACUCUUCAGAAAUACACUGAGGUCCUUUACAUUCAUGGAGAGCUCAGAAGAUCUCAGAGCCUGUUGCAUUAAGGUCGGUACAAAUGCACAAAGAGGUCUGAAAGCUUAAAGGUGAUGCUGAAGAGAAAAGAUUAUUUCUCCCUACUUUGUAUCCCCACCCCCGAAAGUACUACGAAGUCCUGUUUUGGAAUUUAAGAUGUUUCAUUGAAGUCUUCAGGGAUAUGCACCAUGAAUAUUCUUAAUCCAUCUGCAACUGGCAUUUGCAUGGGUGCGUUUUCCGUCUGCUACAAUUAAAAAGAGAGCAACUGGUUAUUGUAAAUAACCUUAAUCCCACCACAGCAUUGUGUUUGCCUCAAGUGUCUUUGUGGCAACUCCACCAGAUCUCCAGCUGUCUGUGUUCGGGAAGAUCAGAGCAGGACUGAAGGUGUAAACAAACAGAAAGCAGAAGUUUUAUAGAGCAUCUUGGGCGUGGGAUACUUUUGUGAUUUGAAAGGCCUCGUGUUGGACUUUUGUGAGAUUCAGACUCAAUCUGUCUAGAUCCAAACUCACUCUUCCAAGGAAUUUUGCACAGUCCAAGCUUAGUUGAUAAAUACUCACUUGGGCACAUGGGGAUUUCCCAUGCCAUUUCUGCUCCAGGAGGCAUCUAGAGCAGCAUCCCAUCUCAGGCAAAAAACUGAACCAGAUAAUAGAAAAAAAAAAAAGUCUUGAAUAAUUAUAUCUAGCUCCCCAGAGAGACAAGGAGUUUCUUCCUAACCUUUUUGUGAUUAACAGCAUUGCCUGGUCUGUAAAGGCCAUAUACAUUAUGGAAGAAAGAGCCAGAGCAAAGGUAAAGAGUCAAACCAAGAAUUAUCAGGUAUGAUACAUGGGUCUGAAGGAAACAGAUCUAGGGAGAGAAAUGACAGGGGAAAAAAAAUGAAAUGAGGAAGAAGAAGAGGAAAAUCGAGGAAGAGAAAGGAGUUGAAGAAAUGCCAGGUUACCUUACAGCAGGGGCUGAGGGCUGCCUGGUCUAUCUAGGUAUUACACCCUGAAAAUGGAUGGCAGAGUAGGCAGGAGAGCAUACAACAGAGCAGGAAAUAGGUGGGAGAGGUUGCUGAAGGAACAGUGGUAUGUUUGCAGCAGCACACAGGUAUGUUUGGGUGGCAAAGAACAAUGAGUGAGCAGAAGAAGGAGUGACAAACUGGGGGAAGGCAGUUACUUCUCAUCUCAUUUCACCCAUCAUAUGUUACAUUGUGAAAGGAUGACAAACUGGGACAGUGGAAUUAUUUUAUUUAUUUUGCCCAGUAGUACAAGGUGUUAUCUCACCUCUGGGGCCCAACACAUGAAAUACAUGACAAAGCAUGCAUUACAAUAAAAAUACUGAUGCAGAGGGAAGAUGCUUCUUUUCGCAAACAGUAUUAUGGCCCUUAAUCCACGUAGGAGACAAAAAGUCUCUGUUUUCUGUCAGAGGUCUUUUUAGUAAAACACGUUAAUGCUGGAUCAAAGUAGUUGAAAUGUGAUGCAACUGUUUUUAAAACAGCCACGAGAAAGGCGCCUCAGACAACAUGCAAUGGAGACCAUCAGACUUUGCCUCCAGAAGGUAUCACAGCUACUGGAAGGAAUUACCCCGGACUGCUUUCUCCAUUUCACAGAUAAAUACAGAGCUCAUCUCAGAUUAGUAACAAAAAUAAACACCUUUUGAAAAUAUCAACUAAAACAAUAGCACUGCUGCCCAGGCAGAAAAUAGGCAAACCAUAGCUCUAAACCACCAAAAACAAACCCUGAUGCAUGCACGAGACUUGACAUGACACUAACCAGAGCAGACUUAUUUUCUUGGGGGUUAGGUUUGAAUUCCAUUUUGUUAUAAGAGAUUAGGGCUGAAGAAUGUGAAAUCUUUCAUGGCAUCCUGGCUAUCAGACACCAGUGGCCCCUAGGUGCAUAUGUGCUUCUUGUCAGCCCUGGCUCCUUUGACAAGGCUUGGGCCAUCACUCUAAGCAUGAGGAAGGCAAGAUAAACAGUUCUCUUCCAUUCAGAAUUUGUAAUAAUUAGAACAAGGUCCCCAUUCUAAUUCCUGUGUGUGCAUAGAAGAAACAAAAUAGGUAGGAUAUUAGAUCUGAAGAUAAAAAAAAAUUAAACCAAACUUUGCAUGAUCAUUCUUUUGUUUGCAUAUCAUAGUGGUAGCACAGAGGAAGACAGCCCUGGAAAAUUUUGACUUUGGUUGUAAAUGAAGUGGAGCACUCAAGGUUGGCGCAUGUUAACGUGACCAAAACAGCUCAUAAGCAGAGUAUAACACAGCCCCACAUGCUGGAUCCUUAGCAAGAUGGUUGUUGUCUUUGUAAACUGCACAUGGAAAAGUGCAGGCUGUAGACAUUCUGGCUCAAGCCAGAAGAGACCUCAUCGAGAGAGCAGUGCUAACUGAAAAUGUACAACUAGAGGGUUUGUUUUGUUUAUUUAAUUGCAUAUGAUUGGCAAACUUUAUUUUGGAAUAUAGAAUACUGCUCACAAGAGCAAAGAUGUGCCCAUUUCAGACAAUGGUUUGCAAAUGACAGGGAAGAUGUUCCAGUGAGUAUGACAUCAAGCCACAUGUGUGGAAGACAUCAGAAGAGCACGGAUGAAGCAACUGUCCAAAAAUGUGCUUUUCAACACACUCACACGUGCACACAUCUAAUUCUCAUGCGCACAAGAAAAGAAUCAAAGUGAUGGAGCAAAAGCAUUCAAUUGCUUCUCUGCCUCAAACUCCUUGUUAUGACCUUGGGUAAGUAGGCCCAGACUUGCCACAAACUAACUGCCUUGAAGCAUGAUGGCCCUAAUCUCUGAACCUACGCACGCUGUCUGCAAAAUGACCUAAUCUCUUCGCUCCCACCUUUGGACAGGUUGGCUUAUGCAAAGUCUAAGGUACUUAUCUGAGGGGCAAAAUUUGACCCUGGUCACAGUAUUGAAGUAUAAAAUACACUUCUUAAAAAUGCAAAAUAUUCCUGUUAUGUAUAAAAAUAUAUAUCUCACCCAAUAAAAUACAUAACUGCAGCUUCCUACUUAUUCUUGAUGCAGUUUUCUUUCGGGAGUGCUGCAGACUGCAGUGAUAGAUUCUUUAUCUCUUUAUUGUAAUGGCGUCAUCCACAGCAAGUCACAGCAAGGUUAGGUACCCUCCAAGGUCUUCUCCUUGCAACAUGGAGCAUCCUGCAGCCUGCAAAACCUACCUGCAAAGCAGGCAGAAUUAACACACUUGUGCAGCUGCUUUGUGCUGGCACCUGUGGAAGAGCUGAUUUUACAUGGUUCACCUUAGCAUCAAUUUUAAGAAAUGCACAGAGUGAAAGGGAUGGAGGAAAUCUGUGGAAGGUUUGCAGUGCACAGGGAAGCAAAGCAGCCCUCACGCUGCUCUGCUCACGGCGAUCCUUGGAGCUUGUGCCAAAGCAAACUCAGUGUGGAGACCCAGUACACGUGCCCCUGCUGUGGCAUCUCCCCCAGCUGUGUUUUCUUUGGCUCGAGCUCCUGCUGAGCCAUGGGCACGCUGGGGUGACAGAUGCAUUAACACGGAUGUAGCUGGGUGGAAGUCCCAGGCUUCCAAGCCCUUUUGGCUGGGCACAGGGAGGCUUGAGAGAAAGUAGGGGACUGCCACAGGCUUUGAAAUCUGCCUCUCCUCACUCUUCUGUGGUGCUAAGAGCCCCUGCCCUCCUUGGAAAUGCUGGGACACACAUACAUGCACCCCAACCCUCACCUCUAAGCCUACCGGCAGAGGAUGUUUCCACUUGCAUGUUGUUCAUCAGCGGGCAAAUGGAGCUUACCCAAACCCU
This is a non-coding RNA of Anas platyrhynchos (mallard), 4032 nucleotides long. Lineage: Eukaryota; Metazoa; Chordata; Aves; Anseriformes; Anatidae. The record is from RefSeq and is a predicted model, not a curated record.